Molecule: long non-coding RNA, 181 nt
Filed under: Felis catus (domestic cat)
Lineage: Eukaryota; Metazoa; Chordata; Mammalia; Carnivora; Felidae
Description: lncRNA (ENSFCAG00000050884.1)
Source: RNAcentral
UCAGCGGCCUGCAAGCCAAGGUCUGUCUAAAAAUUGAGAGGAGGGACGCAGAGAGUGAAAAUCGCAACAGAAGCGGGCCUACUCCGCUGGUAGACGGAGUGAGUUCACGGAAGAGCAUUUGCAUAUUCAGCCUCUCCUGAGGAGCUGAACACACAGGAAACACUGAGAAAUGUUGCUGCUU